This 414-nucleotide ribosomal RNA is filed under the name Flavobacterium sp. sec5. Its description in RNAcentral is "bacterial SSU rRNA". It matches the Rfam family "Bacterial small subunit ribosomal RNA", at positions 444 to 861 of the family's 1533-position model. Lineage: Bacteria; Pseudomonadati; Bacteroidota; Flavobacteriia; Flavobacteriales; Flavobacteriaceae. The record is from RNAcentral.
GAAGAAACACUGCUUCGUGAAGCAGCUUGACGGUAUCGUAAGAAUAAGGAUCGGCUAACUCCGUGCCAGCAGCCGCGGUAAUACGGAGGAUCCAAGCGUUAUCCGGAAUCAUUGGGUUUAAAGGGUCCGUAGGCGGUUUAGUAAGUCAGUGGUGAAAGCCCAUCGCUCAACGGUGGAACGGCCAUUGAUACUGCUGAACUUGAAUUAUUAGGAAGUAACUAGAAUAUGUAGUGUAGCGGUGAAAUGCUUAGAGAUUACAUGGAAUACCAAUUGCGAAGGCAGGUUACUACUAAUUGAUUGACGCUGAUGGACGAAAGCGUGGGGAGCGAACAGGAUUAGAUACCCUGGUAGUCCACGCCGUAAACGAUGGAUACUAGCUGUUGGGCGCAAGUUCAGUGGCUAAGCGAAAGUGAU